This is an RNA transcript of Gallus gallus (chicken), 2821 nucleotides long. It is a transcript of the gene named AN1-type zinc finger protein 2B-like, with no coding region annotated. The transcript has 9 exons. The record is from RefSeq and is a predicted model, not a curated record. Lineage: Eukaryota; Metazoa; Chordata; Aves; Galliformes; Phasianidae.
GGGGACCGAAGCGGUGGAGGCGGAGGCGGCGGCUUCACCGGAGGACGAGGAGGAAGGCGAUGACUUUGAGCUACUGGAUCAGAGGGAGCUGGAGCAAAUGGAUGUAGAGCUGGGCCUCGGGGAGGAGCGGGAAGGGCAAGACCCUCCUGCCGCUCCGGCUCCGGCUUCCCCCUCUCCCGCACUUGCUGAGCUGCCAAAGCAAGGAGAUGAGGAGGAGGCAGCGAUGACGGCGGCGUCUACGUCUUAGGUCUUCUCCGUGCGCCCCUCGGGUCUCCGUCGUCACCGGAAAGAAGGAAGAACUCCCGUGGCGAACGUGCGGCGGGUUUUAGAUGUCCGCGUCGGCCGGGAUGGAAACGCGUCAGUGUUCGUGUGCUGUGUUUGGAAUAACAAACCCUUUCCAUCCUUCUAGAGCCCGGCCUCUGCUGCCUGAGCGGGAGGCGCCCCUGCCCGGCGGCCGGGGAGGAGCCGGCUCCUGGAAGCCUUACGCCACAACGGAGCACCAACCCCUGCAAACGCUUCCUAGUAAUGGUGCGGUAUUUUGGUCUGUCUUCUGUUUGUCUUUCGUUUUGCACGCCGAGUACUGAGCUAGCUGUAGCUGCUGCUAAUACCCAACUCCCCAGUAGGACAUAUGCAAUCUUCUUUUAUCGGGUUUUUAAAUGGCUACGAGUGUAAAUAAUUUUAACUUCCAUCGGUUUCGUUUGGGGGAGGGUUGGGGAGGGGAGCGCGGUCAGACACGGCUCUGGGGGGCUGGGAGGGGGCCGGGGGGGGGGGGGGGGGGGGGAACACGAGCGGAUGGGUCCUGAGCAACAAAGAGCCCCUUUUCGCAACCUGUCGGCACCUUUCCCGCGGCUGCUGGAGCACGGUGUCGGGCGCUGCCUGUUUUUCCCUGUCUGGUUGCAGUUGUGCUACUGAGCGGCCGUGGAGUUUUUGCAAUCAAUGAAGUUCACUCCUGGCCCCAUCCCGCGUCUCUUCCUGCCGCGGCCGCGCCGCGCGUCCCUUAAGCUGCAGGCUGCCGGGGGGCCGAGCAGCCCUCGGCUCUGCCCGCAUCCCUUGGGAGCGGCGGCGGGGCUUCGGGAGACCUCGAAGCACCUCGAAGAGAGCCGGGAGCUCCGUCGCACAGCGGAGGGUCGGCGCUUCGCGUCCGUUCGACGGCCGGGGAGGGAGGCGGCGCUCCGUCCCCCACUGCUGGGACACGGGAGGGAACGGGAAGAUUUCCUGCCCCUCAAGUGCGACGCCUGCGAGCGGAUCUUCUGCACCGACCACGUCGCGUACGCCCAGCACGAGUGCACCUCCGCCUACAAGAAGGACGUGCAGGUGCCCGUGUGCCCGCUGUGCAACACGCCGGUGCCGGUGCGGCGGGGCGAGAUGCCCGACGCGGUGGUGGGAGAGCACAUCGACCGCGACUGCAGGUCCGACCCCGCGCAGCGCCAGCGCAAGAUCUUCACCAACAAGUGCUUGAAGCCCGGCUGCAAGCAGAAGGAGAUGAUGAAGGUGAUCUGCGAGCAGUGCCACAAGAACUACUGCCUGAAGCACCGGCACCCGCUGGACCACGACUGCACCGGGGCCGGGAGGCCGCUCUCUAAAGCGGGGCACGCUGCUCUCACCAGGGCCCAGGCGUCCCCCCCUCAAACCGGCGGCACAUCGAGCAGCGCCGCCCGGCCCGCAGGCAGCCCCCCCUGCCCUGCCCCUGCCAGAGGUGUGGGAGCGGCCGUGCCCCAGGUCCGCAGCACCUCCCCGCCAGCCGCCGUGCUGCAGAAUGGGCUGAGCGAGGAGGAAGCGCUGCAGCGGGCGCUGGAGAUGUCCCUGGCAGAGUCGGCACGUGGCUCGGCGCAGCCGCCCAGGUACAGCUGGGGCAUACGGUGCCACCCCCGUGCACGCCUGGCUUGCAUAUGAUGGCCCUGCUCUGCAAGGUGCUGGGGAAAAGGGAAGAGCCCGGAGCUGUGGCUGAGCCCACUGCCGGGUGGGGACAGUGCCAGGCAGCGCAGGGGGUUCCACGCUGCUUCCUGACUGCUUGGCACUGAUGGGCACAGCCAGAGCUGCAGGGGGUAGCCGGCAGCCCACGGGCACGCUGCUCGGUGCUGCUAAAUGGAGCGCGGGCGUGCAGGCAGCCCCCUGCCCUCUGCUGCCCCGGGGACGUAGGGGGGUGGGCACAUGGGGUGCCAGGCACACGGUGCGCCGCUGUCCCUGCAGCACGCAGGAGGAGGAGGACCUGGCACUGGCGCAGGCGCUGUCAGCAAGUGAAGCUGAGUACCAGCAGCAGCAGCGGCAGGGACACGGCUCAAAGCCGUCCAACUGCAGCAUGUCAUAGGCACGUGGGGGCUGUGCUGGUGGACACGGCGUCCUGCUCGUGGCACAAGGAGCCGCCCUGGCACCGCACGUGGACGCUGUGGGGUCCUGGCCUGGGUGCCACCAGGAGCCACCUGAUCUCCCCAGGGCUCUAAACAAGCCACCGAGCACACGCCGACACCUCACCCUGCAUGCAGGCGGUGCAGCAUGCUCCUGGAGAAGUGGGGGCUGCAGGGGGACCCGAGCACACGCUGAGCACAGCAGCUGCUGGUUGGGUCAUCUGAGGAGGAGCCCAAAGGGGCAUCUGCGGGCGGCGUCACCAGGGGCUGGCGGUGCGCUCGGGUUGGGAUGAGGGAGUGCUGAUGUGUCAAAGUGCUGCUUGGGAGAAAAUAAAGGCAUGGCCAAGGGCCAUCCCACAGGCGCACCCCCUGCCCAGAACGCACAGCACAGAGCUGGGAAGGACCUCGUUUAAGAAACUACACCACAGCAGAACAAACAGGUACAAAAGGAGUGUCCAGGCCGGGCCCUGCAGCUC